Long non-coding RNA from Corvus hawaiiensis (hawaiian crow), 850 nucleotides. RefSeq lists it as uncharacterized. Lineage: Eukaryota; Metazoa; Chordata; Aves; Passeriformes; Corvidae. The record is from RefSeq and is a predicted model, not a curated record. The transcript is spliced from 3 exons.
GUCUGGAAAUCUGCUGUGAAUUUUAACGUUUUCCAUGCAAAGAUUGAGUGUAAGCUGGCAGUUUAAUUUCACUUUUGAAGGACCAAAAUGCUGUUAGGACUUCCUAGUUAUACAAUUAGGAUUGUCUUGUUUGGAAGAUGACCAUGAAGUGACAACAGAGCCAUCCUUUCCCUGCCAGAUUCCUGUCCUACAGGACGCUCAGCCUUCAGUGACAAGUCCUCUCCUCUGAUGGUUGCAGACUGUAAUGUUCCACUGCAAGCACAGCUGGCUGUUUGGGGUGGCUGACACACAGAGCUGCACCUGCUGGAAUAGAUGCUAAGAAAAGAGAUGUGUUCUGAGAGAUACAAAGGCAUUGUCCGAUCCGUGAUGAAUUGCAUGGGCAAAAGACUUUGUUAAGACCAACCUGUGUGACCUCCUGCAUUGACCAUCUGCUGGCUCCUCGUUGGGUGACAGAAAGCCUUUCAAUAUGCUACCAAACUGAUAGAAAUUACCCUGAUCUGAUGGUCUACAGCCUUGUACCUACCUUGCCUUGGUUGGCUGUUCUGAGAGCCUCCUACCAAGAUUUCCUGUUGCCUCCAUUUUAGAGGAGCUCUGUCUUUUCUCCAAUGAGUGGAAGUUAGUAAGACCCAGCAGAUGCUGCUGCCUGAGUUCAGUCAGCAGAGUAACACUGUGAUUCCUUCCAGCUUCUUUGCUUGUACAUCGAGAGGAAGGAGGAUGCUAACUUCAUAACUUCUCCCCAUUGUGCCCCAGAGGUUAGGCACCUUGCCAUACACAGAUGUUAUCAAAAAAUGGAAUCAUUUUAUAAAUAAACUGUGAGUUAACAACGGUCUACAUAAAUGUAUGCUUUGGU